UACUCUUUGCUGAUGGAUGCGGAUGA
RNAcentral lists this non-coding RNA (26 nucleotides) under Homo sapiens (human). Lineage: Eukaryota; Metazoa; Chordata; Mammalia; Primates; Hominidae. The record is from RNAcentral.